UAGUAGAACACUAUGCAAGAAGAGAAGAGCAAAGAAGAUC
This 40-nucleotide small RNA is filed under the name Arabidopsis thaliana (thale cress). RNAcentral describes it as "ATSL010250". Lineage: Eukaryota; Viridiplantae; Streptophyta; Magnoliopsida; Brassicales; Brassicaceae. The record is from RNAcentral.